UGUGAAGAAACGGAUUGUGGUUUUUUGGU
Molecule: non-coding RNA, 29 nt
Filed under: Rattus norvegicus (Norway rat)
Lineage: Eukaryota; Metazoa; Chordata; Mammalia; Rodentia; Muridae
Source: RNAcentral